Molecule: ribosomal RNA, 433 nt
Filed under: Streptomyces malaysiensis subsp. malaysiensis
Lineage: Bacteria; Bacillati; Actinomycetota; Actinomycetes; Kitasatosporales; Streptomycetaceae
Description: partial 23S ribosomal RNA
Rfam family: Bacterial large subunit ribosomal RNA
Source: RNAcentral
UAUGUCAUGUUAUCGAUAUGUGAAUACAUAGCAUAUCAGAAGGCACACCCGGAGAACUGAAACAUCUUAGUACCCGGAGGAAGAGAAAGAAAAUUCGAUUCCCUUAGUAGCGGCGAGCGAAACGGGAAGAGCCCAAACCAACAAGCUUGCUUGUUGGGGUUGUAGGACACUCUAUACGGAGUUACAAAGGACGACAUUAGACGAAUCAUCUGGAAAGAUGAAUCAAAGAAGGUAAUAAUCCUGUAGUCGAAAAUGUUGUCUCUCUUGAGUGGAUCCUGAGUACGACGGAGCACGUGAAAUUCCGUCGGAAUCUGGGAGGACCAUCUCCUAAGGCUAAAUACUCUCUAGUGACCGAUAGUGAACCAGUCCCGUGAGGGAAAGGUGAAAAGCACCCCGGAAGGGGAGUGAAAUAGAACCUGAAACCGUGUGCUUA